UUAAAGAGAAGAAUACCCAGCUAUCUAAAGAGCUGGAAGAGUGCAAAGCCCAACUGCGGGCCGCAGUUGCAGGAAUGAAGGAGCCCCAGAAGGCCUCGUCUGACAAUCCCGGAAGUAAUCCGGAGAUCGUAUCGGAGGAUGACCCUCAUGCUCAAUGACAGCUGAAAGCUGGCGAGUGUGUGCUUACAAAAGGUAUACGGGAGAAGAAUGAUCUCCAGGACGCAAAGACCAGGCUGGACGUUGAAUUAAAGGAUGUCCGGGGCCAACUUGCUGACUCCGUGAAGGAAAAUAAGUGGCUUCAACGCGGCAUUUUUAGUAUGCUGACAGGUCAUCCCGGAGAGGAGAUGC
This is a long non-coding RNA of Triticum dicoccoides, 348 nucleotides long. RefSeq lists it as uncharacterized. Lineage: Eukaryota; Viridiplantae; Streptophyta; Magnoliopsida; Poales; Poaceae. The record is from RefSeq and is a predicted model, not a curated record. The transcript has 3 exons.